AGAGUUUGAUCCUGGCUCAAAAUCAACGCUGGCGGCGUGCCUAACACAAGCAAGUCGAACGAGAAAGUGGAGCAAUCCUUGAGUAAAGUGGCGACCGGGUGAGUAACACGUGACCAAUCUACCCUUGAGUGGGGGAUAACCUCGGGAAACCGGGGCUAAUACCACAUAACAUCCUUCGAACGGAAGUACUGGGGAUCAAAGGAGCAAUUCGCUUAAGGAGGAGGUCGCGGCUGAUUAGCUAGUUGGCGGGGUAAUGGCCCACCAAGGCAAAGAUCGGUAGCCGGCCUGAGAGGGCGCACGGCCACACUGGAACUGAAACACGGUCCAGACUCCUACGGGAGGCAGCAGUGGGGAAUUUUGCGCAAUGGGGGAAACCCUGACGCAGCAACGCCGCGUGGAGG
Molecule: ribosomal RNA, 401 nt
Filed under: uncultured bacterium
Lineage: Bacteria
Description: bacterial SSU rRNA
Rfam family: Bacterial small subunit ribosomal RNA
Source: RNAcentral